RNAcentral lists this ribosomal RNA (517 nucleotides) under uncultured organism. RNAcentral's name for it is "SSU rRNA". It matches the Rfam family "Bacterial small subunit ribosomal RNA", at positions 1 to 509 of the family's 1533-position model. The record is from RNAcentral.
GUAGUUUGACUCCGUCGGCGUACAGGACGAACGCUGGCGGCGUGCUUAACACAUGCAAGUCGAACGGAGUAAGACGCUGAAUUGAUGUCAGCUUGCUGAUGGAUUUUCUUGUCAUACUUAGUGGCGGACGGGUGAGUAACGCGUGAGUAACCUGCCCUUCAGUGGGGAAUAACGUUCUGAAAAGAACGCUAAUACCGCAUAACAUACAGAGGCCGCAUGGUCAUUGUAUCAAAGAUUUAUCGCUGAAGGAUGGACUCGCGUCCGAUUAGCUUGUUGGCGGGGUAACGGCCCACCAAGGCGACGAUCGGUAGCCGGACUGAGAGGUUGAACGGCCACAUUGGGACUGAGACACGGCCCAGACUCCUACGGGAGGCAGCAGUGGGGGAUAUUGCGCAAUGGGGGAAACCCUGACGCAGCAACGCCGCGUGGAGGAUGACGGUUUUCGGAUUGUAAACUCCUUUUAUGGGGGACGAAGAAAGACGGUACCCCAUGAAUAAGCUCCGGCUAACUACGUGCC